UACGAAGGGUGCAAACGUUGCUCGGAAUCAUUGGGCGUAAAGCGCACGUAGGCGGCUUCCUAAGUCGGAUGUGAAAUCCCUCGGCUCAACCGAGGACGUGCAUCCGAAACUGGGAAGCUCGAGUAUGGAAGAGGGUCGCGGAAUUCUCGGUGUAGAGGUGAAAUUCGUAGAUAUCGAGAGGAACACCGGCGGCGAAGGCGGCCCACUGGACAGAUACUGACGCUGAGACUCGAAAGCGUGGGGAGCAAACAGG
RNAcentral lists this ribosomal RNA (253 nucleotides) under uncultured bacterium. RNAcentral describes it as "partial 16S ribosomal RNA". It matches the Rfam family "Bacterial small subunit ribosomal RNA", at positions 524 to 776 of the family's 1533-position model. The record is from RNAcentral.